GGAAGCUUACCCAAGCGGUUGAAGGGGUCAGUCUUGAAAACUGAGAGGCAUUAACGUGCGCGGGGGUUCGAAUCCCUCAGCUUCCA
This 86-nucleotide transfer RNA is filed under the name Mycoplasma haemocanis str. Illinois. RNAcentral describes it as "Mycoplasma haemocanis (strain Illinois) tRNA". It matches the Rfam family "tRNA". From Rfam's summary of the family: Transfer RNA (tRNA) molecules are approximately 80 nucleotides in length. Lineage: Bacteria; Bacillati; Mycoplasmatota; Mollicutes; Mycoplasmatales; Mycoplasmataceae. The record is from Rfam by way of RNAcentral.